AGCCCUCAGCAAUGGGCAAAGAGACCUUGCUGGUGGUGGCGUUCUUAUAUCAGUCAAGGGCAGAGAAGAUGGCAGUUCUCUGUUCAUCCUAGCUUGAUGCUUGGGUUAGUGGCCAAGGCUGUUUUAUGUCUAGGAUUCAUAA
Molecule: small nucleolar RNA, 142 nt
Organism: Mastomys coucha (southern multimammate mouse)
Lineage: Eukaryota; Metazoa; Chordata; Mammalia; Rodentia; Muridae
Product: small nucleolar RNA SNORA48
Exons: 1
Source: RefSeq, a predicted model, not a curated record